This 494-nucleotide ribosomal RNA is filed under the name uncultured bacterium. RNAcentral's name for it is "partial 16S ribosomal RNA". It matches the Rfam family "Bacterial small subunit ribosomal RNA", at positions 28 to 507 of the family's 1533-position model. The record is from RNAcentral.
GACGAACGCUGGCGGCGUGCUUAACACAUGCAAGUCGAACGGAAAGGCCUGCUUUCCCUUGUGGAUUGCGGGUACUCGAGUGGCGAACGGGUGAGUAACACGUGAGUGAUCUGCCCCCAACUUGGGUAUAAGCCUGGGAAACUGGGUCUAAUUCCCGAUAGGACUGCAGGGUGGUGCCUGUGGUGGAAGACGAUUUUCUAGUGGUUGGGGAUGAGCUCGCGGCCUAUCAGCUUGUUGGUGGGGUAAUGGCCUACCAAGGCGGCGACGGGUAGCCGGCCUGGGAGGGUGGACGGCCACAUUGGGACUGAGAUACGGCCCAGACUCCUACGGGAGGCAGCAGUGGGGAAUAUUGCACAAUGGGCGGAAGCCUGAUGCAGCGACGCCGCGUGGGGGAUGACGGCCUUCGGGUCGUAAACUCCUUUCGACCGCGAGGAAGCCACCUGGUUGGAAGGGUGGUGACGGUAGUGGUAGAAGAAGCACCGGCUAACUACGUG